RNAcentral lists this ribosomal RNA (460 nucleotides) under uncultured bacterium. RNAcentral's name for it is "partial 16S ribosomal RNA". It matches the Rfam family "Bacterial small subunit ribosomal RNA", at positions 338 to 795 of the family's 1533-position model. The record is from RNAcentral.
CCUACGGGAGGCAGCAGUGAGGAAUAUUGGUCAAUGGGCGCGAGCCUGAACCAGCAAAGUAGCGUGAAUGAUGACUGCCCUACGGGUUGUAAACUUCUUUUAUAAAGGAAUAAAGAGCGGUACGUGUGCCUUUUUGUCUGUACUUUAUGAAUAAGGAUCGGCUAACUCCGUGCCAGCAGCCGCGGUAAUCCGGAGGAUCCGAGCGUUAUCCGGAUUUAUUGGGUUUAAAGGGAGCGUAGAUGGGUUGUUAAGUCAGUUGUGAAAGUUUGCGGCUCAACCGUAAAAUUGCAAUUGAUACUGGCAGUCUUGAGUACAGUUGAGGUAGGCGGAAUUCGUGGUGUAGCAGUGAAAUGCUUAGAUAUCACGAAGAACUCCGAUGGCGAAGGCAGCUUACUAAACUGCCACUGACAUUGAUGCUCGAAAGCGUGGGUAUCAAACAGGAUUAGAUACCCGAGUAGUC